Molecule: long non-coding RNA, 562 nt
Organism: Marmota monax (woodchuck)
Lineage: Eukaryota; Metazoa; Chordata; Mammalia; Rodentia; Sciuridae
Exons: 4
Source: RefSeq, a predicted model, not a curated record
GUAUACACACGGGCUCAUGUGGCCUCCGGCCCUCUGCUCCGGAAAAACCAAGGCCAUGGAAAAAGUAACGCAGGCCUUUCAGAGAAGAGCCAGCAUCCAAGAAUGCAGUGUUUGGGUUGGCUGCCCAUCUGCAGCCCUCGGGAGAGAUGCUCUGCUCUGAUGCUCCGGUAGGCUCCGAGGCCUGGUCUCCCCGAAGAAGUGCCUUUUCCUGGAAGAAGUGGCAGUCCCACUGGCCCUAGCACACUGGGUAGAGCCCAUCGUACACUAGGCAGCAAAAUUCUAAGUGAGGAAAUACAAGAUUCACUUCUCAAGGACCCAGCUGUGGAGGUUUUAACAGAUAAUCAGCAUGCAACACACUGGAUAUUAAGUGGCCACGAAAGCAUCCUCCUGUGUUCUUCUAGAAGCCUUAUGGAAAUGAGUGCUUUCUGAACUGGCCUCUGAGAAAGCCUCACAGGGCCCUGAGGAGAAAGGGUGAGCCCCAGCCGCAGCACCUCCAGCCCCUUUCAUUUCCAGCUCAACUGAAGCCCCCUCUUCGUUUCAUUUUAACUAAAAUUUCAUUCAA